GUGAAAACAUAUUACCAUGGAUUUUGUGAUAGGAUCGCUAAGGCAUGGUAAGGACAUGAUGCCAUUUGGGUAAUUGUUGACAGGCUUACCAAGUUUUCCCACUUCUUGGCCAUCAGGAUGAUCGAUCCAUUAGACAAGUUGACAAGAAUGUACAUCCUGAAAAUAGUCAGAUUACAUAGAGUAUUAGUGACAGUAGUGUCUGACAGGGACCUCAGGUUCACUUCUCGGUUAUGUUUUAGCUUCCAGCAAGUUAUGGGAAUGAAACUGUCCUUAAUACUACAUUCCACCCUUACACCGAUGGACAGUCAGAAAGGAUGAUCUGCACAUUUGAGGAUAUGCUUCGAGCAUGCGUUCUUGACUUUAGGGGCCAUUGUGAUGACCAUUUACCCCUGAUAGAGUUCGACUACAACAACAGUUACUAAGUAAGUAUUGGCAUGGCUCUGUACGAGACAUUGUAUGGCCGCCAAUGUAGAUCGUUGAUUUGUUGGGAAGAAGUGGGUGAUAGAAAACUAUUCGGCUCAGACCUUGUAAUGGAGAUUACAACCAAAAUCGUUAAGAUUAGGAAGAAAGAAUAUUCAGAAGGUUCAGAGCAGGCAUAAGAGUUAUGCGAACACUCAGAGGAUGGACUUGAAAUUUGAGAAAGACGAUCGGGUGUUCUUUAAGGUCACUCAUUUCAAGGGAAUUAGCAGGUUUGACAAGAGUGAAAAACUAAGCUCCUACUUUAUUGGACCAUUUGAGAUUUUAGACAGAAUUGGUACCGCCGCCUACAGACUGCCACUAGCUCCAGAACUUUUCAGGAUCGAUAAUGUGUUUCAUGUGUCUAUGCUAUGCAAGUACAACUUGGACCUCUCUCACGUCUUGGCCUACGAGCCUCUUCCACUCCAGGAGGAUAUGUCAUACGAGGGAGUACCGGUCGGUAUUGUAGAUCGAAAGAGCAGAUUACUCUGCAACCAGAAAAUUCUUUUUGUUAAGGUCAUAUAACAGAAUCACACACUGAGAGAGGCCACAUGGGAGCUAGAAUUGGAUUUCAGAGGCCAACAUCUCCAACUGUUUGAUUGUGAGUGAGAGAGACUAAUUUGAGGGACCAAAUUUCUUUUAAGGGCGGGAGAGUUAUAAUGCCCAAAUUUAAUUUCGGAAAAAGGGAGUUAAAAUGCAAUUUAGAAAACUUAUGCCUCAUAGGAUGCUUGAUCAGCAGCCCCGACGAACUAGAAUGCACUGCGUGGUAUCGGACACUGACACGGUGCCACGCGUGAGAUUUGCGUGCCUGCGAUCGAAUGACCUAGAUCCGUUCUCACAUUCAUGGACGACCUGGAUGCAUUCCCUCCCCAAAUGCAAUCGGACAGUUAGAUUUAAACAGGAUCAACGGUCCAGAUCUAUAUCCUAUUUAAACGCAAUCGGACGGUCCAGAUUGGAUCGCGAUGGACAAUCCAGAUUUACUCCCUAUUUAAUCGCGAUCGGAUGGUUCAGAUCAAACACGAUGGACGACCCAAAUUAAAUGGAGACGGAUAUAAAUAACUCUCUUUACACCAAACCCUAACCUUAGCCGCCAGACACCUUCGCUGGAGAAGAAGACCCAGCCGUCGGGAAUGAGAGCCAUCGCCACCCGCUGUUGCACCAGAGCUACUUCCGAUUGCCAAAAAAGGUUGACCGGAGCAAAACACCUAACUGUAACGUGAGCCGAAGGAGCUGCUGCACUAGAGAGCCCUGCUGCAAGGAUUGAUACAAAAUCGGCCAAAAAUAGCCGACUCGAGUUGGACCGUCGCCGUGGGCGACGACGCCAUUGCCGAAGCACUGCGGAGCUGUCGUGCCAGAAUUAUGAAAUUGGCCAAAAAUGGGUCCUGAGACUGAUUUUAAAUUUUUGAGAUAUUUGUAGGUAUUUUUAGCACAUUUUAAUUCCCAAAGAAAAAAUUUAGAGAACCAGUGGGACCGCUAGUAGGCGCAGUCAACAGUUUAGCUUUUCGGGUAUCAAAUUGUAUCAAGAAUACCAAGAUCCAAAACCCGAUCCACAAAAGAGUUGCGAGGAAGAUGCUAGUUUUAUUUAUUUUCUACUUAUUUCCUUAUUUUCUUUGUAUUUCUUUCAAAAAGGUAAUUACCGUAGCACUAUUCGGUACUUUAAGUUAUUGUGUAAGGAAUGUAAACUUUAACCAUUCAUUUUAGUUUUGCGUUUAAUUUAUAAUUUAUUUCAUUUGGACAUUUUAGGGUCUUUACAAUUACUCUAUAUAGGGGAGAACGUUAUUCUAUAGGUCGUUUUUAUAAAUCUCGUUAUGGUAAGUGGAUGAUAAAGAUUUUGGUUAUCAUAAAUGAAUUUGUUUAAUUAAGUAUCUCAUUACUUGUUUUGCUUUUCUACAAAUCUUCAUUUCUGUGUCGGU
This is a long non-coding RNA of Carica papaya (papaya), 2369 nucleotides long. RefSeq lists it as uncharacterized. The record is from RefSeq and is a predicted model, not a curated record. Lineage: Eukaryota; Viridiplantae; Streptophyta; Magnoliopsida; Brassicales; Caricaceae.